This is a long non-coding RNA of Pogoniulus pusillus (Red-fronted tinkerbird), 301 nucleotides long. RefSeq lists it as uncharacterized. The transcript is spliced from 2 exons. The record is from RefSeq and is a predicted model, not a curated record. NCBI's taxonomy places the organism in Eukaryota, Metazoa, Chordata, Aves, Piciformes, Lybiidae.
GUGGGACAGUGGAGCUGAGGAGGGACUUUUCAGGCUAUCAGGGAGGGACAGAACCAGGGGCAAUGGAGUGAAGCUGAAGAUGGAUCGGUUCAAGCUGGCUGUGAAGAGAAAGUUGCUCAGCAUGAGAGUGAUUCACCUUGCAAACGGCUGGAGGACAGUUUCACUGCCAAAGGAACACCUUGGGACUCCCCUCGGGAGCUGGAGAUAGCUCUUUAGCCCUCAAAGAAACAAACGAGACCAGCAGCAGGAGACCCUCUGCUGCUAUCCCCCUCUGCCCCUCUCUUUGCUCCCCACUGCCUGG